RNAcentral lists this long non-coding RNA (740 nucleotides) under Homo sapiens (human). RNAcentral's name for it is "non-protein coding lnc-BRF2-2:3". The record is from RNAcentral. Lineage: Eukaryota; Metazoa; Chordata; Mammalia; Primates; Hominidae.
ACCCGCGAACCUGGAAAUGGAGCCUAGGGGCUGAGGUUUUGCGCGCCUGGUUCCAAGGGCCACUCCCCGUGUGCUCUCCUCUUUCCUGCGCCUCAGCCGCUGCCGUCCCCCCACCCCCAAGGGACUUUUGUGAGGCAGAAACGCAUCCUAUACUCGGGGGAUCCUGUUUCCUUUCAAAACGCCUUUCCAGGCUUGCCCGUUCCCGGCUUUCUGGGCGCGGGGACCAGAAUUAGAAGCCACUGGGGCGGGAGCCAGGGCUUUUCUCUGUCAGAUGGUUCUUGCGAGGAACCCCUAAGCGAUACGAAAGGAAACUCUUCUUUCUUCUUUUCCCUAAAGACAUGGCGUGAUUCAAACGUAUCGUGAUUUUUGUCAUCUUUCAGACCACUGCUGUCCAAGAGAAAUAUAACGCCAUCCAACUGUGUAAUUUGGAAGUUUCUCAUAGGCACAUAAGCUUAAAAAUUUUAAUGAUAUACUUUAUUUAAUCCAAUAUAUCCAAAGUAAGAUUUCAACAUGCAAUCAAUAGAAAAACUAAAUGCGAUAUUUUAAUUCUUUUGAAAAUCGUAUGUGUUUCUGAAACCCGGUGUAGUGUUGACUUGCAUAUGUCUCAAUUCGGGCCAUCCCUAUUUCGAGAGGUUAGCGGCCACCUGCGGCCAGUGCUGUCUCAUCAGGGGACACAGGCAGCAUGAUUAUUACUAUUAUUAUUAUUGAGACAGUCUCGCUCUGUCACCCAGGCUGGAGUG